Molecule: ribosomal RNA, 501 nt
Filed under: uncultured Planctomycetaceae bacterium
Lineage: Bacteria; Pseudomonadati; Planctomycetota; Planctomycetia; Planctomycetales; Planctomycetaceae
Description: partial 16S ribosomal RNA
Source: RNAcentral
CACGAACUUAGCCCGUGCUUCCUCCAGGGAUCACUCAAGCCCCUUGCGGGACCUUGGUCCCCCUCGACAGGAGUUUACAACCCGAAGGCCUUCAUCCUCCACGCGGCGUCGCUCGGUCAGGCUUGCGCCCAUUGCCGAAGAUCCUCGACUGCAGCCACCCGUAGGUGUCUGGCCAGUGUCUCAGUGCCAGUGGCGCGGGUCGUGCUCUCACACCCGCUACGCAUCUUCGCCUUGGUGAGCCGUUACCUCACCAACUAGCUAAUACGAUAUGAGCCCCUCCGGAGGCGAAAUUCUUUCCGGCAAAGCGAUGCCACUUCGCCGAAUCGCCGUGUAUUACCCAUCCGUUAGGAAGGCUAUCCACGACCCCCGGGUAGGUUACCCAUACAUUACUGCCCCUUUCGCCACUUCCCCCGCCCUGUACUUGCUACAGGGCGAGGAUUCGUUCGACUUGCAUGCCUAAUCCACGCCGCCAACGUUCGUUCUGAGCCAGGAUCAAACUCU